CCUACGGGAGGCAGCAGUGGGGAAUAUUGGGCAAUGGGCGCAAGUCUGACCCAGCAAUGCCGCGUGAAGGAAGAAGGUCUUCGGGUUGUAAACUUCUUUACUGAGGGACGAAUAAAGUGACGGUACCUCAGGAAUAAGCCACGGCUAACUACGUGCCAGCAGCCGCGGUAAUACGUAGGGAGCAAGCGUUUUUCGGAAUGACUGGGCGUAAAGGGUGCGUAGGCGGGUAAACAAGUUAGAAGUGAAAUACCCAGGGCUUAACCCGGGUGCUGCUUCUAAAACUGUAAGUCUUGAGUGCAGGAGAGGCUAGCGGAAUUCCGUGUGUAGCGGUGGAAUGCGUAGAUAUAAGGAGGAACACCAGAGGCGAAGGCGGAUAACUGGACUGUAACUGACGCUGAGGCACGAAAGUGUGGGGAGCAAACAGGAUUAGAUACCCGAGUAGUC
Molecule: ribosomal RNA, 444 nt
Filed under: uncultured bacterium
Lineage: Bacteria
Description: partial 16S ribosomal RNA
Rfam family: Bacterial small subunit ribosomal RNA
Source: RNAcentral